CAGAGGUCCCAAGCGUUGUUCGGAUUCACUGGGCGUAAAGGGUGCGUAGGUGGCGGGGUAAGUCGGAUGUGAAAUCUCGGAGCUCAACUCCGAAAUGGCAUUGGAAACUACCCUGCUAGAGGGUCGGAGGGGGGACUGGAAUACUUGGUGUAGCAGUGAAAUGCGUAGAUAUCAAGUGGAACACCAGUGGCGAAGGCGAGUCCCUGGACGACUCCUGACACUGAGGCACGAAAGCUAGGGGAGCAAACAGGAUUAGAUACCCUGGUAGUCCUAGCCGUAAACGGUGCACGUUUGCUGUAAAAGGAAUCGACCCCUUUUGUGGCGUAGCCAACGCGUUAAACGUCGCCGCCUGGGAAGUACGGUCGCAAGAUUA
This 373-nucleotide ribosomal RNA is filed under the name uncultured organism. RNAcentral describes it as "bacterial SSU rRNA". It matches the Rfam family "Bacterial small subunit ribosomal RNA", at positions 526 to 896 of the family's 1533-position model. The record is from RNAcentral.